Molecule: ribosomal RNA, 439 nt
Filed under: uncultured archaeon
Lineage: Archaea
Description: bacterial SSU rRNA
Rfam family: Archaeal small subunit ribosomal RNA
Source: RNAcentral
UUGCCGGACCUGACUGCUAUCGGAUUGAUACUAAGCCAUGCGAGUCAUUGUAGCAAUACAAGGCAUACGGCUCCGUAACGCGUAGUCAACCUACCCUAUGGACGGGAAUAACCUCGGGAAACUGAGAAUAAUGCCCGAUAGAACAUUAUGCCUGGAAUGGUUUAUGUUCCAAAUGAUUUAUCGCCGUAGGAUGGGACUGCGGCCUAUCAGUUUGUUGGUGAGGUAAUGGCCCACCAAGACUAUUACAGGUACGGGCUCUGAGAGGAGUGGCCCGGAGAUGGGUACUGAGACACGGACCCAGGCCCUAUGGGGCGCAGCAGGCGAGAAAACUUUGCAAUGUGCGAAAGCACGACAAGGUUAAUCCGAGUGGUUUCUGCUAAAGAAACCUUUUGUCAGUCCUAGAAACACUGAUGAAUAAGGGGUGGGCAAGUUCUGGUGU